Molecule: ribosomal RNA, 242 nt
Filed under: uncultured bacterium
Lineage: Bacteria
Description: partial 16S ribosomal RNA
Rfam family: Bacterial small subunit ribosomal RNA
Source: RNAcentral
CUAGCGUUGUUCGGAAUUACUGGGCGUAAAGCGCACGUAGGCGGCUUUGUAAGUUAGAGGUGAAAGCCCAGUGCUCAACACUGGAACUGCCUUUAAAACUGCAUCGCUUGAAUCCAGGAGAGGUGAGUGGAAUUCCGAGUGUAGAGGUGAAAUUCGUAGAUAUUCGGAAGAACACCAGUGGCGAAGGCGGCUCACUGGACUGGUAUUGACGCUGAGGUGCGAAAGCGUGGGGAGCAAACAGG